Molecule: transfer RNA, 121 nt
Filed under: Biomphalaria glabrata
Lineage: Eukaryota; Metazoa; Mollusca; Gastropoda; Planorbidae
Rfam family: tRNA
About the family: Transfer RNA (tRNA) molecules are approximately 80 nucleotides in length. Their secondary structure includes four short double-helical elements and three loops (D, anti-codon, and T loops).
Source: Rfam by way of RNAcentral
GUCAGGAUGGCCGAGUGGUCUAAGGCGCCAGACUCAAGGUUUAAGAACCUUACCAUGCAUCCAUGGGUCAGAGUGUUCUGGUCCACGAAAGUGGGCGUGGGUUCAAAUCCCACUUCUGACA